This 619-nucleotide ribosomal RNA is filed under the name uncultured Syndiniales. Its description in RNAcentral is "SSU rRNA". It matches the Rfam family "Eukaryotic small subunit ribosomal RNA", at positions 606 to 1233 of the family's 1831-position model. Lineage: Eukaryota; Dinophyceae; Syndiniales. The record is from RNAcentral.
UAAGUUGUUGCGGUUAAAAGCUCGUAGUUGGAUUUCUGUCGAAGACGGUCGGUCCGCUCUAUGAGCGUGUAUCUGAUUCGGCUUUGGCAUCCUCGUGGGGAACGUAACUGUGCUUGAUUGCAUGGUGCGGAAUUCACGACUUUUACUUUGAGGAAAUUAGAGUGUUCACGGCAGGCAAGCGCCUUGAAUACAUUAGCAUGGAAUAAUAAUAUAGGACUUUGGUUCUAUUUUGUUGGUUUCUAGGACUAAAGUAAUGAUUAAUAGGGAUAAUUGGGGGCAUUUGUAUUAACGCGUCAGAGGUGGAAUUCUUGUAUUGCGUUACGACAAACUACUGCGAAAGCAUUUGCCAAGGAUGUUUUCAUUGAUCAAGAACGAAAGUAUGGGGAUCGAAGAUGAUUAGAUACCAUCGUAGUCUUAACCAUAAACUAUGCCGACUAGGGAUUGGUGGAGUAUACAAAAGCUCCAUCAGCACCUUAUGAGAAAUCAAAGUCUUUGGGUUCCGGGGGGAGUAUGGUCGCAAGGCUGACACUUAAAGGAAUUGACGGAAGGGCACCACCAGGAGUGGAGCCUGCGGCUUAAUUUGACUCAACACGGGGAAACUCACCAGGUCCAGACAUAG